Long non-coding RNA from Coregonus clupeaformis (lake whitefish), 460 nucleotides. RefSeq lists it as uncharacterized. The transcript has 3 exons. Lineage: Eukaryota; Metazoa; Chordata; Actinopteri; Salmoniformes; Salmonidae. The record is from RefSeq and is a predicted model, not a curated record.
AAAAUAUUUGUUCAUGACCAAUCAAAUUUGAUUUGAUUUGGCUGGCUAGCUAGCAUAGAUAACGGUGCCGUGAAGUAAAUCCAUAUGAAUAAUAAACCCAGCUGUCAAAGGGAAUGUGCUUGAUGGCCAAUGUGAUACAAUAUGCUGCAAAGUAAUAUCAAAACGUGCAAACUACAAUUCAGGCUAUCCAUCCCAGCCCAACUCUGCUCAGAAUGGCCACAGAAGUGAAACCAUCGCCAGACAGACACCCUCCUCUCCAAGGAGAAUGCUUGAGUAUGUCAUUGUACGUCAUUGUCAAGUUCAUAGAAUUUAGGCUGUCAUUGAUCAAUGACAGACAGACAAUGUGACUAUUCACUAACUCCACCUUUGUGUCUGUGUCCAGAAAAAUGCAGUGCACACAUUUAUUUGAGUAGCUUAUUGUGAAGGUUGGCCUAUGUCACUGUAAAUAGCAUCAUAACUC